Molecule: long non-coding RNA, 1172 nt
Organism: Pyrgilauda ruficollis (rufous-necked snowfinch)
Lineage: Eukaryota; Metazoa; Chordata; Aves; Passeriformes; Passeridae
Exons: 2
Source: RefSeq, a predicted model, not a curated record
UAAAUGAAGUCAGGGGUUUAUAUAUUUUUUUUUUUUUUUUAACAGAAUGAAUAAUGUAUUUUCUGUGAAAAGUAGAUAUCUUGAUCUGUUGAUAACAGUGGUGCAAGUAAACUAAUUUUAAGGCAAGAAAGAUCUGAUAAAGCAAUUGGUGAAGGGCUUUAUUUCAAAAAGGAAACUGUAAAAUGCUGGCCAAAAUAAUCCUUGGAUGCUUAAUAUACUCUUCCUUACAAAUGAAAAAAGAUAAAUCAGUAGCCAAAUAGAGAAAAAGUGAAACAGGUGCUUCUGUUAAGAGAAAGGUAGGAAGAACUCAGCCAUUAUCUUUCCUGUUUGGCACCAUAUGUCAGAUCAGUGAACAUGUUGGCUUCAGCCACCAGUUGAUAGCUUUAGCUCCAGCUUGGCCAGAGUUUGUGUAAUAUUCCUGACUAGUCAGCAGGACUGGUUUUAUUUCAACUGCAUUCAAAAUUUUAAUUUCUCUUUAUUGCAAAGUACAUUGUGGGAUGUUAAUUUAUGGCAGGUUACUGAACUCAAAAUAAGGAAUGGAAAGUCUUAACAUCCCCAGACCCAGCAAGGGCUCCCAGGGAGCUGAGAGACUUCUUUGUUGACCCUCUUCUGACCAAGGUGACUUCUGUCAGGCCAGAGAAGGAACAUGCAGGAACUCCUGCUUUACCAUUCUGGGAGUGGCUUUGGGUUUUAUCAAAAGAUUUUGGUACUGAACAUAAAAAAGGUGACUGGGUGCCUUGAGGGACAGCAGUUGCACCAUGGGAUUUCUCUGUAUCUCCCUCUAAGUCCUUCACUUUGAAUCUGAGUUUACUUCUGUUCUUGUUUUAUAGUUUACUGUAUCUUAAAUUCAGCAGGGCUUUGGUUAAACUGCCUCCUUCCUGAGAAGGGAAGUGAGCUCCACCUAUAAUAAAGCUUUUUUUUGAAGAAAGGGUGUUUUUGUAGCCUUUAAAAGCAGAUUUCCCUCUGUGAGCCUGCUGCCCUACAACAGCAAGGUUCCUGGGCAAAUCUAAGUUUGCAGGUGAGGAAUCUACUUGCCUUUUGAUUGGUGAAGGAAUUUUUGGGUGAAAUGAUCAAGUAUUCAGAACUCUCACAUGCUGUGCAUAUCCUGCAGAAUAUAUUUUGUUUGAUGUUUGUGAAAGAUCUUUAGAAUAAAUCUGUUUUUUUGAAAAUGA